CAGCAGCCGCGGUAAUACGAAGGGGGCUAGCGUUGCUCGGAAUCGCUGGGCGUAAAGGGUGCGUAGGCGGGUCUUUAAGUCAGGGGUGAAAUCCUGGAGCUCAACUCCAGAACUGCCUUUGAUACUGAAGAUCUUGAGUUCGGGAGAGGUGAGUGGAACUGCGGGUGUAGAGGUGAAAUUCGUAGAUAUUCGCAAGAACACCAGUGGCGAAGGCGGCUCACUGGCCCGAUACUGACGCCGAGGCACGAAAGCGUGGGGAGCAAACAGGAUUAGAUACCCCAGUAGUCCCUGUCUCUUAUAA
This 301-nucleotide ribosomal RNA is filed under the name uncultured bacterium. RNAcentral's name for it is "partial 16S ribosomal RNA". It matches the Rfam family "Bacterial small subunit ribosomal RNA", at positions 509 to 809 of the family's 1533-position model. The record is from RNAcentral.